CGGUGGUGAGUGGAACACCUUUGCGGAUGAUUAUCAGCUUCAUGCUGGAGACCGCAUAGAAUUUGAACUACCACACAAGGGUCUCAAUCUCGAAAUACAAACAUAUCACAAUGACAAAAGGUUGCUUCCAUUACCCCACGUUGGUACGUAUUUAAUAUUACAAACUUAUCUUCCUUGGCUGUAUUUUGAUAUGCAUGCAUCGAACUGAAUAAUAUUAACCCGUGUUACAUAAAACUUUAUCUAACUUUAAAAUCUUGUUCUUUUUCUAGCUCUCGAUGACCUUUCUUCUGACGAUUUCGACCAUGUUCACUGCUGUGUCUACUCUAAGGAUAUUGAGCUUACCUACAACCAGACACGAUUCUUUCUACAACGCCUUUUCGG
RNAcentral lists this long non-coding RNA (381 nucleotides) under Triticum aestivum (bread wheat). Its description in RNAcentral is "long non-coding RNA (TAES_LNC022971)". The record is from RNAcentral. Lineage: Eukaryota; Viridiplantae; Streptophyta; Magnoliopsida; Poales; Poaceae.